UUAACGGCGAUGAAUGAGAGGAGUAGGCGGUAUCGGCUUAAAAGAGAGGAAAGCUCGCAGGCUGAAAGGCUUUCUUAAGAACGGCCGCUGAAGGUAGCUCAGGAGCUUUUCGGGUAUGCCCGUUAUUGCUAAAGAGUGCCUGAACGGAAAUAAGGUGGUACCGCGGAGCCUUUCGCCCUUAAU
Molecule: non-coding RNA, 183 nt
Filed under: Caldanaerobius fijiensis
Lineage: Bacteria; Bacillati; Bacillota; Clostridia; Thermoanaerobacterales; Thermoanaerobacteraceae
Description: T-box sequence
Rfam family: T-box leader
About the family: Uncharged tRNA acts as the effector for transcription antitermination of genes in the T-box leader family. T-boxes are found upstream of many aminoacyl-tRNA synthetase genes and some amino acid biosynthetic genes usually in Gram-positive bacteria. The anticodon of a specific tRNA base pairs to a specifier sequence within the T-box motif, and the NCCA acceptor tail of the tRNA base pairs to a conserved bulge in the T-box antiterminator hairpin.
Source: RNAcentral